Molecule: ribosomal RNA, 457 nt
Filed under: uncultured bacterium
Lineage: Bacteria
Description: bacterial SSU rRNA
Rfam family: Bacterial small subunit ribosomal RNA
Source: RNAcentral
GGUGAACGCUGGCGGCGUGCCUAACACAUGCAAGUCGAGCGGUGCAGUUUGAAGCUUCGGUGGAAAGCUGCAUAGGCGGCGGACGGGUGAAGGAAAACGUAGGAACGUGCCCCUUGGAGUUGGAUAGCCACGGGAAACUGUGGGUAAACCGACAUAGACUCGAGAGAGUAAAGGCCGAAAGGCGCCAAGGGAGCGGCCUGCGGCCCAUCAGGUAGUUGGUAGUGUAAAGGACUACCAAGCCGACGACGGGUAGCCGGUCUGAGAGGAUGGCCGGCCACAAGGGCACUGAGAGACGGGCCCUACUCCUACGGGAGGCAGCAGUGGGGGAUUUUGGACAAUGGGCGAAAGCCUGAUCCAGCGACGCCGCGUGGAGGACGAAGCCCUUCGGGGUGUAAACUCCUUUUCUCAGGGAAAAAGGAUGAUGGUACCUGAGGAAUAAGCCCCGGCUAACUACGUG